CCUACGGGGGGCAGCAGUAAGGAAUAUUGGACAAUGGGGGCAACCCUGAUCCAGCCAUGCCGCGUGAAGGAUGAAGGCGCUCUGCGUCGUAAACUUCUUUUGUAUGGGAAAAAUAUCCUGAUUUCUAUCGGGAUUGAUGGUACCAUAAGAAUAAGGGUCGGCUAACUUCGUGCCAGCAGCCGCGGUAAUACGAAGGACCCGAGCGUUAUCCGGAUUCAUUGGGUUUAAAGGGUGCGUAGGCGGGCCUGUAAGUCAGUGGUGAAAGCCCAACGCUUAACGUUGGAACGGCCAUUGAUACUGCAGGUCUUGAGUACAGUUGAGGUUGGCGGAAUGUGUCAUGUAGCGGUGAAAUGCUUAGAUAUGACACAGAACACCGAUUGCGAAGGCAGCUAGCUAAACUGUAACUGACGCUGAGGCACGAAAGCGUGGGUAGCAAACAGGAUUAGAUACCCUAGUAGUC
Molecule: ribosomal RNA, 460 nt
Filed under: uncultured Bacteroidota bacterium
Lineage: Bacteria; Pseudomonadati; Bacteroidota
Description: bacterial SSU rRNA
Rfam family: Bacterial small subunit ribosomal RNA
Source: RNAcentral